RNAcentral lists this unclassified non-coding RNA (240 nucleotides) under soil metagenome. RNAcentral's name for it is "partial contains 5.8S ribosomal RNA, internal transcribed spacer 2, and large subunit ribosomal RNA". The record is from RNAcentral.
AACGAGGCCGACCUGCGGCUGAGUUACCUGCGGAGGGAUCAUUACUGAGUGUAAAAACUCCCAAACCCAUUGUGAACAUACCACUGUUGCUUCGGCGGAUACGCCCCGGGCGCGCUCUUCACAGGGCGUGCCCCGGAACCAGGCGCCCGCCGGGGGACCGAAACUCUUGUUUUCUUAGGAUCUCUGAGUGUGAUUAUUAAAUAAAUCAAAACUUUCAACAACGGAUCUCAGAUCGGAAGA